CAAAAGAAAUGUUGAAUCAAGGUUUCUUGGGUUUACAGUUGGUGUGUUUGCAUUCCCACCGCAUAUGUAGGAGAAUUACCUCAGGCAUCGGUAAAGAAUUUAACGAAGCAAUGUCUGUUGCACUGAGUUCUGAUUCUUUGUUUUAGUUUUAUGCUUCAACUGAGGUAGAGAUUUCAAUGAAAUAAAAGAACAUAUGAUUCUUAAAUUGGCUAGUUCCUGGAGGAUGGGAGCUUAGUUAUACAUGUUUGGAAUAGUUUUAGUUCCAAUUUUUGUUGUGCUAGUUGUUAUGAUUGCCACCCUUUUGUUUUGAAAGAAGUAAUAUUUAUUGGUAGAGUUAUAUUUUUCUUCUUUUUUAUUUUUUGAGGUGAUUCUUAGUUGUGACACAUCAACACCCUCAACAUUAAUGUUGAACUAAUAGCAUUGGUUAGUUGAUUCGGAAUAUGGAUUCUCAUUGUCUUUUCUCUGUUUUUUCUUUUUUGGGUCUAUUACUGUACAUGCUCAUCUUUUUCCAAACGGAAGUGUAUUUAUUGACAGAUGUAUGUCUUUUGCUUCCUUUUAAUGAUUAAUGGCUGGUGGGGAUUUAUGAGACAAAGCGUUGCUCUAUUCUUUCUCUUAGUUUUUUCUCAGAAAAUAAGAAAGACGCUUGUAAAUUGUCCUAUUACUUGUUGGGUUCUCUUCUUUUAAUUUGCAGCUUUUCAUUCUCCAAAUUUUUAUUUAUCAAGUUUGAGACUUUGACUUUUUCUUUCUUCAAGUGGUCCUUAAUUUGCCCAAACGUAUAUUUUAUGUUUAAAGAAACUGUAGUUUAUUCCAUCAGUUCUUUUCUCAGUUACGAGAUAUCAGAGAUUGAGAAAUGGAAACAUGAAAUUUUGGUCAUGGCUGUGAAGGUUUGCUUAUUGACCUACUUUUUUUUUUCAUUUAUCUGUUUUUAGGGGAUGGUGGCACUGAGUGUUGUAGAUCUUUAUUCUUGUUGGGAUGGAGUUUUUUGUUUGGCAUGAGGCUUAUGAAUCUGGAUAACAAUGUGUUGUUGAAUAUUUGUGUAUUUUUUUUUGAAACUUUUAAUAGUGUUGUAUCGGAUAAAAGGGAAAUUACAGAGAGAGAGAAGGGAAAAGGGGGUAGAGACCACCCACUAGACGGGGUUCUAUACCAAAAAAUAGGCGAACCACAGAGCAGUGGCCCUAUACAAAAAAUGGGGCAGAGCCCGUACAUAUGCACAAAACAACCAAAACGUUGUGGAGGUAUAGUCCACUGAAAGUAUAACAAAAAAGACAAUGCUCCACAGUAAGAAACGGGAAGGGCUCCUUGCUUAGCGAGGGCAUCCGAUUCCCGCCACGUAUGCCUCCAUGAGACGGCAAUAUCCCUGCAUAAGUGAGUAAUUUCAUAAAAAAUAGGGGCGAAGUACCAGGGACAAGGUGAGCAACCUGAGGCCCAGGAGAUGACAUUCUGGGCAUCGCAUUCCACAAUCAAUGAGAGACCCCAUAGAGGGUCGAAAAGAUUGAUGCCCUUGAGGAGGGAACGGGAUUCAGCUGUCUGGGAAUCAGUGUGGCCCAGGUGAGACGGGAAUAAGGCUGAGCUGAUUUCUGAAAUGCCUCCAGUGCCUGACGAUCUGGAGUUACCAAGGGAGCACCCAUCAAAGUUGAGUUUGGUUGUCCCGGGGGGGAGGUGACCAUAAGGUGGACCGAGAAGGGCAAGAAGGCCGGAGAAGGAGUAAGGACUUCUAGUUGGUUAGGAAGGUGAAGGGUAGACCUUUGAAUCUCUUGUAAUUGGAGGCCCAAAAGAUGACCGAGGAGAUAAUCUUGUGGAAAAUGAUCGGAGUCAAGCAUUUCUCUCUGAAAAUCCUGGAAUUUUGCUCAAUCCAGAUUGUCCACACCGUGGCAGCCACGGAUGCUUGCCACAAAAUUGGGCCAGCUAUUGGCUACGGGCAAGCAAGGUGCUACUUGAAGAGAGCCAGUAUAGAAGGGGGAGUAACCCAUUGCCAUCCAAAGAGGCGGAGUAAGGAACCCCGCACAGGUUUUGGGCCAAAUUGCAAUGGAGGAAAGGUAGGGGUUACUGUCUUCGCCAGAUAAACACAUCGAAUAUCUGUUGGGGAUUGCACAUUGAAAGCAUUAACAUUUUAGUUUCAAAUUAUUAUUUCAAGAUGAUAACUGUAUGCGAUACUUUUUUUUCUGAUUUUCUAUUCUAGGUUUUCAAUACUUUAUAGUAUGAUUGUUCAAUAUGUAUUACUAUAUCUUUUGAUGUAUGGUCUUGUGGAUCCUGGGAACUAGUGACUUCAUGAUGACUUUUUGUAUCAUAGCAAUUUUAAACAAAUUCGUAAUUGAUAGAUUUGAAGAUAAUAAGUGUAGUAACUUUAACAUUGAGGUUUCCCAUGUGGCCAAGAUCAUAACACUGUACUUGUUUUGUAUCUCUUUUACAUUGUUAACAUAUGAAGUGUGCCUAGAUGAAAGUCCCAAUUUAGUAGUUUAAUAGUUUUUCUUGGUUUAAUAAAAAUAGUAAAGUUCUGGUUUUUGUUUGAUAAUAGAGCAAGAGGAGAUUGUCAGAUCAUUUGAGAAGAAACAUGAACAACAAAACACUCUAUGGAGGGCAAUGAAAUGAUGACCCCUGUGCCUUUUACAUGUUAUUAUGGUGAAAUAACUUAUUAGGACAACUUUCUAGGAUAAGAUAUCAUUGAUGUUGGUGGUUGCUUACUUGAUAAAUGGGUUUUUUAAUGGUGUUUUUGCAGUCAUCCGGCUUUCUUUCGCCGUGUUUUACAUCUUCUCUCUCUUUUAAGAAGCUUUGUAUCCAUGGGAACUGGUAAGAAAUAUAAUUUAUUCACAUCUUUUACUCUUUCCUUGUGUUUUUUCUUUAUGUUUGUGUCCUAGUUCGUCUAGGAAGUUUAGUCUUAUAAAUUUGACUGAAUAAAAUUAUGCUUAGAUCUUCUUGAGCUUGUCUUUUCUUCUAUUGAAUUUCUAUCCAGCAAUCUUUGGAUCAUAUCUCCUACAAGAUGAUAGUGGCACAUUAUUGCUUAUGACUUUGGAAUUCUUGUAAGGAUUCUAGAGAAAUAGCUGUUCUCUUUGUUUACAAAUAUUAUUCUUUUUAGCUGGUUAACUAGCCCUGAAUAGUCAAAUUGAUUUUUGCAGGUCACUAGUGAUUCUAUUAUUCGUAGGGAAAGAAAGGUGUGAAUUGCUUAUACUGGCUUCUAAAAUGCAAUAAUUUACCCACGUACAGUUAUGGACAUG
This 3212-nucleotide long non-coding RNA is filed under the name Amborella trichopoda. RNAcentral's name for it is "long non-coding RNA (ATRI_LNC004373)". Lineage: Eukaryota; Viridiplantae; Streptophyta; Magnoliopsida; Amborellales; Amborellaceae. The record is from RNAcentral.